AGUGGGGAAUCUUGGACAAUGGGGGCAACCCUGAUCCAGCGACGCCGCGUGGGUGAUGAAGGCCUUCGGGUUGUAAAGCCCUUUUCCCGGGGACGAUGAUGACGGUACCCGGGGAAUAAGCACCGGCUAACUCCGUGCCAGCAGCCGCGGUAAGACGGAGGGUGCUAGCGUUGUUCGGAAUUACUGGGCGUAAAGGGCGCGUAGGCGGCUCUUUCAGUCGGAUGUGAAAGCCCGGGGCUCAACCCCGGAACGGCAUCCGAGACGGGAGGGCUCGAGACCGGGAGAGGAGGGUGGAAUAGCCAGUGUAGAGGUGAAAUUCGUAGAUAUUGGCUGGAACACCGGUGGCGAAAGCGGCUCUCUGGCCCGGUUCUGACGCUGAGGCGCGAAAGCGUGGGGAGCAAA
This 402-nucleotide ribosomal RNA is filed under the name uncultured Rhodospirillales bacterium. Its description in RNAcentral is "bacterial SSU rRNA". It matches the Rfam family "Bacterial small subunit ribosomal RNA", at positions 353 to 772 of the family's 1533-position model. The record is from RNAcentral. Lineage: Bacteria; Pseudomonadati; Pseudomonadota; Alphaproteobacteria; Rhodospirillales.